RNAcentral lists this long non-coding RNA (992 nucleotides) under Volvox carteri. Its description in RNAcentral is "long non-coding RNA (VCAR_LNC003099)". Lineage: Eukaryota; Viridiplantae; Chlorophyta; Chlorophyceae; Chlamydomonadales; Volvocaceae. The record is from RNAcentral.
GAGGACCCGGGCAAAUAUAGCGAAGCUAGCAGCAGCAGCAGCAGUGGCAGUGGCAGCAGCGACAGUGGUGGAAGUGAGCAGUAACAUGGCAGCAGUGAUGAGCGCUUGGGGGUGCACACACCAUGUCGGCCCCAGGCAGGAUGGGACAGACCAAUCCCAAUAGGUGCCAGUACAUGUCAUGCAUCGGGGGUUUCAUCCGUAGGAGUAGGCAUGAACUCUGCAAGUGGUGGUGAGACUCCUUGGCGAGCACUUGCUGUAUGGGGGGUGACAUGAACACUGUUUUCGAGGACGAUGGUUGAGAUGAAUGCAUCAGGCUGUCAGGCUGGCUGGUCGGCGUUGUGAGUCCAAAGCGCCUUGGUCCACAAGCACACUGAGACUUAGGCUACUUUGACAAGGGGUGUGCGUCCAUUUUGAGGCUUGCCGCAAGUAUUCACCAAUCGUUAAUUUAACAUGCAGUAAGCGUCACAUCACAGAGUAAUAUCUGCCUGUGUAACCCUGAUAACAGGGUCUCCACCCGUAAUUGUACAUGUAAUUGGUUACAUGUGCCCGUAAUUCACCUCCAGCACCGCGUAAAAUCCACCCGUAAUCACUGGGUCUCCACCCGUAAUUGUACGUGUAAUUGGUUACAUGUGCCCGUAAUUCACCUCCAGCACCGCGUAAAAUCCACCCGUAAUCACUGGGUCUUCACCCGUAAUUUCGCGUGUAAUUGGUUACAUGCGCCUGUAAUUCACCUCCAACACCGCGUAAAAUCCACCCGUAAUCACUGGGUCUUCACCCGUAAUUUCGCGUGUAAUUGGUUACAUGCGCCCGUAAUUCACCUCCAACACCGCGUAAAAUCCACCCGUAAUCACUGGGUCUUCACCCGUAAUUUCGCGUGUAAUUGGUUACAUGCGCCCGUAAUUCACCUCCAGCACCGCGUAAAAUCCACCCGUAAUCACUGGGUCUUCACCCGUAAUUUUGCGUGUAAUUGGUUACAUGCGCCCGUAAUUCAC